ACCGAUCAGGUUUAUCUGCUUCCCCUCCGCGUGUUCACCCGGCGAGAGCAGCGUCGCUGAACUGAUUUCCUUUUUCCCUGAGCGAAGCUCGGAUUCUGUUGCAACUAACCGGAUCACUCGCCUACCGUGCUAAUCGCUUGCGGGCCGGCUCCCCUAGACUUAGAACCCAGUAGCCUUAUAAAACCGAGCCAUCCCUUUUCGCUUAUGUCUUGUCCGCCAUUAUCGAGAGCAGAGGAAUUUGAGCGAUGCCGCCAACAUUGAUUUCGGGCUGCGUUCGGGUUGGGGCCACGGUGUACUGCCAGGGCGCUUCGCCAGGGCACAAUGACUGUGGCCGUGGCACCGGUACUAGGAAAAGAGCAUCAGAAGUCCUAUUAUCCCUCAUUGGAGUUAGAGCUCCGCCGCGGACCCAAAUAUCGCCGUGGUCUGGGUUCUGUGCUGCGUAACUCCCGGUGAGAACACUAUCUCAUUCCCUGCCUUCAUCUUUGCUCCGUGUAUCGUCCUUUGGGUUAGAGUUUUGGACCUAGGUUCAAAACUGGGGGUGGGGCCAUUGAUGGCGCCGCAGCUGCGGUACUCCCUGCCGCCGUGCUUGCUCCGGGGGGAGGAAGAACGACUCCUUGCUGUUCGAUCUGAAUGGACGGUCAGGAUUAAUUCUAGGCAUACUGCUUCUAGGUUAAUCAUGGGUCGUUGGAUCGUGACAAUGCGCCAAGAUUAGAGCAGGCAGUAACAGUUCGGGUCCAUCCCUGUGCGUCGUAGGAUCGAGAUCUGAUGGUCUUCGGUGCAUACCGGUUGGAUGCGGAUUGAUUUAAAUCUAGUCCACCCAUAUGUGAUCGGACGACUAAUAAUAAACAAUACCCCGUCGUCGUGGCCUAUUUGCUAAAGAGACCUUGUAUUCUUCUCUAAUUAACCCACAGUCCAUCUUUAUAUAAAGAUCAUUCCACUUAGGUCCUGAAAAUUGUGUUUUCAACCCCGAACUCAUUGGAUAUUGUGGCCACUGCCCAAUAAUUAAUAGAAUAGGCUGAAUUAAUAAAUAAAAUGGAUUUUUGUAUAAAAGUAAAUGCUAGAACUUGUUUAAUUCAUAUAAAAUUCAUAUGAAGUCCAAAUUAAUCCAUUCCAGCUUCUAUAAUUUUGUAAUAUUAUUGUUUAUCACCUAGUGUCUCUGUUUUGACAUGAAAACCAUAUUAAAAUGUAACUCUUAAUUAAUCUUGUAUCAAAUACAUAAAACCUUCAGAAAUUCAUAACUCUUUCGUUUUAAUUCCGAAUUGACUCGUUCCAAUUGCGUUAGUUUCGUAUAAGUAUUUACUACGCAGCAAUAACAUUUAUUAUACCAUAUUGCAUAAUUUAAUAGUUAGAUAGUUAUUUAUCCUAUGUCUACUAGAUUAGCUCUUCUAAAUCAAAACUAACCUGACCAUAAUUAUACUGGGGUUAAAACAUGAUCCUUAGUUAAGUAUAAUCUAGAUUAAAGUUGAAUUGAUUAUUUAGGGUAUAUUUCCUCAUAUGAUGUAAAAUAAUCAAUUUAUAAUUUAAUAUUCCAACCACGUAGAUCUUCCAUAGAUCAUAACUCCUUAACCAUGACUCUGAUCUUAGUAGUUCUCGAUCCCACGAUCGCGUAGCUUCGCGUAGAUCAUUAUUAUGCAGUUUGUUCUUAUGUAUGGUGUAAUGUUAAUUUUGUCUAUACCAUGUUUGUUUGUAUUGCUACGACUAGCGCGAGGUUCCGAGGAUCUGAAGAAUCACCCUGGUAACUGGAAUCUCAAGUGCCAGGCAAGUUGUGCACUUGAUCCACUUUUGUUACCCAAAAAUAUUCUUUUAUAUCAAUAUUCAAUGCAUAGGUUUAAUUUUGAUGGGACCCAAUAGGUCACCCUAGUCUGUUUAUCAUUUUACCCUUGUUUACCCCUGAAUCAGUUGGGUAGUUCUGCUAUUGCUUUAUAUGGUUUUGGGAUUAAUAUUUCAUUAUAUCCAUGUUCCAAUUAUUCUGUUAUUUUACUUGUGUUCAUGUCAAGAUCAUUAAAUGUUAAUUGGAACAUGGAGCUUAACUUGAGAAACACGUGCCACCACAAGGGUUUAAUGGGACGCCCUUGGCCAACUAACUAGGAAAGCUAGUGGAAGACUACCUUACCCGAAAGGGGCAAGGGCAGUAGGGGAGUUGCAUGCAAGGAGGUUCUCGGGUUGAUUUUGCUGCGAUGGCGGUCAGACGGGGGAUUCUUGCAAGUGCUCUUCCCAUAAACUGUAGUGUGUUUUCAGAAGCUAGUGGAACUUUGUAAAGGCCUCGUAGUGGAUCCCUAGCCAUUCACCUCGGUAGUGUCUAAGGGCCUUGCAAACCCUGGCGACAUGGGAUACACGACUUGUGGGUACAGGGUACAACCUCUACAGAGUGUAAAACUUGUAUACUAGCCGAGCUCACGGUCAUGAGCAGCUCAGGACUCUCACAUGAUUAAAUUAUGAAACUUAAACUCAAUUUGUCAUUUCCAUUGCAUGGGAUUUUGUUAUUAAUUUUGUUCUAUUAUUAAUUAUUAUGGUUUGGUAUUUACUUACACUUAGUAACUGCUAAUAAAAUUUUGACCAACUUAUAAAAGCAAUGCUCAGCUUCAACCUUUAUUUGUUGAUCAGCCUUACACUUCACAUGAACCCCCACCUUUUGUGAGUUCAUGCACAUUAUUCCCCACAACUUGUUAAGCGAUGAACAUGUGUGAGCUCACCCUUGCUGUCUCACACCCCCCACAGGACAAGAACAGGUGGUUCAAGUGAAGCCACACAACGAGGAGUUCGAUUCGAUCUAGGUGACGUCUCCCAGUCGACUUUCUGGCGCCAAGGAUGGAUUUUAGUUCGAUCCAUAUUUAUAUUCUAUUUUGUAAGACUUCCGCUAUGUAAUAAGUACUCUAAUUAUAUUGUGACAUUUAUCUCUA
This 2900-nucleotide long non-coding RNA is filed under the name Zea mays. Its description in RNAcentral is "long non-coding RNA (ZMAY_LNC001623)". Lineage: Eukaryota; Viridiplantae; Streptophyta; Magnoliopsida; Poales; Poaceae. The record is from RNAcentral.